CCCUUAGAUGUUCUGGGCCGCACGCGCGCUACACUGAUGCAUUCAACGAGUUUCUUCCUGGUCCGAGAGGAAUGGGUAACCUUUUGAAAGUGCAUCGUGAUAGGGAUAGACUAUUGCAAUUAUUGGUCUUCAACGAGGAAUUCCUAGUAGACGUAGUUCAUCAGACUGCAUCGAUUACGUCCCUGCCCUUUGUACACACCGCCCGUCGCACCUACCGAUUGAAUGGUUCGGUGAAGAUCUCGGACUUCGAUAUUUGUUCUUCAUUGAACUUAUAUUGUGGGAAGUUAUCUAAACCUCAUCAUUUAGAGGAAGGUGAAGUCGUAACA
RNAcentral lists this ribosomal RNA (326 nucleotides) under uncultured eukaryote. Its description in RNAcentral is "partial 18S ribosomal RNA". It matches the Rfam family "Eukaryotic small subunit ribosomal RNA", at positions 1470 to 1796 of the family's 1831-position model. The record is from RNAcentral.